Molecule: ribosomal RNA, 434 nt
Filed under: uncultured bacterium
Lineage: Bacteria
Description: bacterial SSU rRNA
Rfam family: Bacterial small subunit ribosomal RNA
Source: RNAcentral
AACGAACGCUGGCGGCAGGCCUAACACAUGCAAGUCGAGCGAACCCUUCGGGGUUAGCGGCGGACGGGUUAGUAACGCGUGGGAAUAUACCCUUUGGUACGGAAUAGCCUCGGGAAACUGAGAGUAAUACCGUAUGUGCCCUUCGGGGGAAAGAUUUAUCGCCAAAGGAUUAGCCCGCGUUGGAUUAGAUAGUUGGUGGGGUAAUGGCCUACCAAGUCUACGAUCCAUAGCUGGUUUGAGAGGAUGAUCAGCAACACUGGGACUGAGACACGGCCCAGACUCCUACGGGAGGCAGCAGUGGGGAAUCUUAGACAAUGGGCGCAAGCCUGAUCUAGCCAUGCCGCGUGGACGAUGAAGGCCUUAGGGUUGUAAAGUCCUUUCAGAUGGGAAGAUAAUGACGGUACCAUCAGAAGAAGCCCCCGGCUAACUCCGUG